CGCUCCGCUGGGGCACCUUCACCAACGACUUCUUGGGCCAGGGCAUGGCCGAGAACACCAGCCACAAGUCCUAGCGGCCGCUCAGCGUCCUCACCUUCAAGUGCAUUCCUGUCUAGGGCUUCCCUUUGACCCAGGGCCGGGAAUAGUUGCGGGACUGGCUUGAAGGGAGUUUCUAGUUCUCAUCACGCCUUGGCCUCUCUGCCUCCCUGCCUCUCCCACUGCAGCUGUUCACGCCACCAGGCUCCCAGGUCCUCUCCAGGCUACUCUGGGUUCCUGGGACCAGGCGGGAGAGGCGAAGGGGAGUUCCCUUCGAGUUUCCAGAGUUUCCCGAGGUGUCUGCGUUCUAGGCUGUUUUCUCUGGACAGAUCUGGGAGUGGGCAGCUGUAGCCGCCACCUCACUCCCCUUCCGCCAGCCCCUCUGGAGGACACAUUAUUAUCCUGGUCAGGAAACAAAUCUGGCUUCUGCUCCAAAGGGAGACAUUAUCUCCAUCUUCAAAGACCAUUUGCUACACAAACAUCCUUGAAAAGUCAUCCAGGACAAAAGCUGUAAGAAAAGGCUCCCUGGGGAAGGAUGAAUUGAUGCUGUGUUGAACUCUCCCUGCACAAAGAAGAAAGUUUUCUGAGGAGGAGGAGCCCUGGUGAAGAGCAGGGGAAAGGGUGAAGAGGGAGGCAGAGAGGAAGGCCUCCUUGGCCACUGAAUGUGUGGUACGGUGGGGCUUUUACAAACUGUCCUUUUUAAAACCUAAAAUUUCAGGCCUGAAAUUAAAAUUUAGGUACAACAGGAUGGUGCAGAACAUUAACGUGGAGGGACAUUCAGAGUAUUUUUAUCAGAGCUUCUUAACUCAGUGAAACCACAGAACCAAUUCAGUCUGGUUCAGUGUUGUCCGUAACAGUAUGUAACAAAAUGAUGAAUUGUUUUUCAAUUGCAACAGACCCCCGGGUUGCAAGUCAAGUAACCAGAGCAUGCCCAGAUGAACCAAGCAUGUCAGAUUUGAGACUGUGGAGCUAAUCUGAAGGAAAAAAAGUCAUCCAUAAGCAGAACCUAAGUACUCAGAUCAAGGGACCAUGCCCAGUUAAGUGAGGGGUACCCUGUUUUGUUGCAGUACGAAAUUAAAAGCCAAGGACCCAACACCACAUCUUUGCAUCACCCAAACAGAUCACACUUCAUUGCAUCUGCCUAUCUUUCUCAUAGCUACUCUCUGCCUAUAAAACCUGCCCCCAGCCCCCAGCUCUGGGAGACAGACUUGAGCACUGCUCCCUGUCUCCUGGCCAAUUAACUUGCAAUAAAGCUUUU
Symphalangus syndactylus (siamang) is the source of this 1294-nucleotide long non-coding RNA. RefSeq lists it as uncharacterized. Lineage: Eukaryota; Metazoa; Chordata; Mammalia; Primates; Hylobatidae. The record is from RefSeq and is a predicted model, not a curated record.